UAAUGUACAUUUCACGCCCGGCCUCACCCC
RNAcentral lists this non-coding RNA (30 nucleotides) under Rattus norvegicus (Norway rat). Lineage: Eukaryota; Metazoa; Chordata; Mammalia; Rodentia; Muridae. The record is from RNAcentral.